This 350-nucleotide unclassified non-coding RNA is filed under the name Hevea brasiliensis (rubber tree). Lineage: Eukaryota; Viridiplantae; Streptophyta; Magnoliopsida; Malpighiales; Euphorbiaceae. The record is from RNAcentral.
CUCUGCUCUCUGCAGAGCAGCUUUAUCUUCAACGCUGAUGAACCACAAUGCAUUCCAAUCUCACAAAGCAAUGUCCUGACAAUUAGUUGAGGAAAUCCAGUAGAUGACAAAUAUGGAUAUCAACAUUCAUUAAGAGCAACAGAGCGUUCUUCUUCCAUUUUCUUGCUGUCUAGUAUGCAAUUUCAUUCCAGUUGGACGUGAAGGCGCAGCAAUUACCAAUUUCUUAGCUAUUUCAUAAAAGAGCUCAUUCACAUUCUGUGCAGUUUUUGCAGACGUUUCAAGAAAAACCAAGCCAUUUUCUUUAGCAUAUUGCUCACCUUCCUCACUUGCAACUUUUCUCUUCUCUUCCA